This 433-nucleotide ribosomal RNA is filed under the name uncultured bacterium. RNAcentral describes it as "partial 16S ribosomal RNA". It matches the Rfam family "Bacterial small subunit ribosomal RNA", at positions 29 to 507 of the family's 1533-position model. The record is from RNAcentral.
AACGAACGCUGGCGGCAGGCCUAACACAUGCAAGUCGAGCGAGGACUUCGGUUCUAGCGGCGGACGGGUGAGUAACGCGUGGGAAUGUGCCCUUCUCUACGGAAUAGCCCUGGGAAACUGGGAGUAAUACCGUAUACGCCCUAUUGGGGAAAGAUUUAUCGGAGAAGGAUCAGCCCGCGUUGGAUAAGGUAGUUGGUGGGGUAAUGGCCUACCAAGCCGACGAUCCAUAGCUGGUUUGAGAGGAUGAUCAGCCACACUGGGACUGAGACACGGCCCAGACUCCUACGUGAGGCAGCAGUGGGGAAUCAUAGACAAUGGGGGCAACCCUGAGCUAGCCAUGCCGCGUGAGUGAUGAAGGCCUUAGGGUUGUAAAGCUCUUUCAGCUGUGAAGAUAAUGACGGUACCAGCAGAAGAAGCCCCGGCUAACUCCGUG